Molecule: non-coding RNA, 26 nt
Filed under: Bombyx mori (domestic silkworm)
Lineage: Eukaryota; Metazoa; Arthropoda; Insecta; Lepidoptera; Bombycidae
Source: RNAcentral
UACGGAUGCGAUGACGAUCGGCUGGU